Oncorhynchus gorbuscha (pink salmon) is the source of this 315-nucleotide long non-coding RNA. RefSeq lists it as uncharacterized. Lineage: Eukaryota; Metazoa; Chordata; Actinopteri; Salmoniformes; Salmonidae. The transcript has 3 exons. The record is from RefSeq and is a predicted model, not a curated record.
UCUACAAUGCGUUCCAACGUGAGAUUCCUGAGGCAAUCGGUCAGUCCUCUCUCCCCCAGCUCCACCUCCUUGUGACAGGACGGACAGGGGAACAGCAUGGGGGCAGGAGACAUGUCCUUACGACGACGCCCGGGGUACGUCCCAAAACCUGAGAGGUGGGGGGAGGAGGGGAUAGAUUUCCAAACCAACGAAGACACACCAACACCGUACAGACUUGGAUGCACAUUAUGCAGAAUGAGGGUCAUUUCAUAGGGAACUGGAGGAGGAGCUCUCCUAUUGUUACAUCAUCAACGUUCAGACAAUAAAUACCUGUUU